CAUAGAGUGCCUGAAAAAGGAUUAUUUUGAUAGAAUAAAUCAUACAGGUCCUCCCCCCUGUCUCUAUGG
Molecule: transfer RNA, 69 nt
Filed under: Trigonopterus tanimbarensis
Lineage: Eukaryota; Metazoa; Arthropoda; Insecta; Coleoptera; Curculionidae
Description: tRNA-Ile
Source: RNAcentral